Molecule: ribosomal RNA, 450 nt
Filed under: uncultured bacterium
Lineage: Bacteria
Description: partial 16S ribosomal RNA
Rfam family: Bacterial small subunit ribosomal RNA
Source: RNAcentral
GUGGGGAAUAUUGGACAAUGGGCGCAAGCCUGAUCCAGCCAUGCCGCGUGUGUGAAGAAGGCCUUCGGGUUGUAAAGCACUUUUGUCCGGGAAGAAAUCUUCCAGGUUAAUACCCUGGGAGGCUGACGGUACCGGAAGAAUAAGCACCGGCUAACUUCGUGCCAGCAGCCGCGGUAAUACGAAGGGUGCAAGCGUUACUCGGAAUUACUGGGCGUAAAGCGUGCGUAGGUGGUUCGUGAAGUCUGCCGUGAAAGCCCCGGGCUCAACCUGGGAAUGGCGGUGGAUACUGGCGGGCUAGAGUGCGGUAGAGGGUGGUGGAAUGCCCGGUGUAGCAGUGAAAUGCGUAGAGAUCAGAAGGAACAGCCGUGGCGAAGGCGGCAUCCUGGGCCAACACUGACACUGAGGCACGAAAGCGUGGGGAGCAAACAGGAUUAGAAACCCGAGUAGUCC